UACAGAGGUCUCAAGCGUUGUUCGGAUUCAUUGGGCGUAAAGGGUGCGUAGGUGGCGCGGUAAGUCGGGUGUGAAAUCUCGGAGCUUAACUCCGAAAUUGCAUUCGAUACUGCCGUGCUCGAGGACUGGAGAGGAGACUGGAAUUCAUGGUGUAGCAGUGAAAUGCGUAGAUAUCAGGAGGAACACCGGUGGCGAAGGCGGGUCUCUGGGACGGUACUGACGCUGAGACGCGAAAGCGUGGGGAGCGAACAGG
RNAcentral lists this ribosomal RNA (253 nucleotides) under uncultured bacterium. RNAcentral's name for it is "partial 16S ribosomal RNA". It matches the Rfam family "Bacterial small subunit ribosomal RNA", at positions 524 to 776 of the family's 1533-position model. The record is from RNAcentral.